GGUCGGAUUAGCUAGUUGGUGGGGUAAAGGCCUACCAAGGCGACGAUCCGUAACUGGUCUGAGAGGAUGAUCAGUCACACUGGAACUGAGACACGGUCCAGACUCCUACGGGAGGCAGCAGUGGGGAAUAUUGCACAAUGGGCGCAAGCCUGAUGCAGCCAUGCCGCGUGUAUGAAGAAGGCCUUCGGGUUGUAAAGUACUUUCAGCGGGGAGGAAGGGAGUAAAGUUAAUACCUUUGCUCAUUGACGUUACCCGCAGAAGAAGCACCGGCUAACUCCGUGCCAGCAGCCGCGGUAAUACGGAGGGUGCAAGCGUUAAUCGGAAUUACUGGGCGUAAAGCGCACGCAGGCGGUUUGUUAAGUCAGAUGUGAAAUCCCCGGGCUCAACCUGGGAACUGCAUCUGAUACUGGCAAGCUUGAGUCUCGUAGAGGGGGGUAGAAUUCCAGGUGUAGCGGUGAAAUGCGUAGAGAUCUGGAGGAAUACCGGUGGCGAAGGCGGCCCCCUGGACGAAGACUGACGCUCAGGUGCGAAAGCGUGGGGAGCAAACAGGAUUAGAUACCCUGGUAGUCCACGCCGUAAACGAUGUCGACUUGGAGGUUGUGCCCUUGAGGCGUGGCUUCCGGAGCUAACGCGUUAAGUCGACCGCCUGGGGAGUACGGCCGCAAGGUUAAAACUCAAAUGAAUUGACGGGGGCCCGCACAAGCGGUGGAGCAUGUGGUUUAAUUCGAUGCAACGCGAAGAACCUUACCUGGUCUUGACAUCCACGGAAGUUUUCAGAGAUGAGAAUGUGCCUUCGGGAACCGUGAGACAGGUGCUGCAUGGCUGUCGUCAGCUCGUGUUGUGAAAUGUUGGGUUAAGUCCCGCAACGAGCGCAACCCUUAUCCUUUGUUGCCAGCGGUCCGGCCGGGAACUCAAAGGAGACUGCCAGUGAUAAACUGGAGGAAGGUGGGGAUGACGACAAGUCAUCAUGGCCCUUACGACCAGGGCUACACACGUGCUACAAUGGCGCAUACAAAGAGAAGCGACCUCGCGAGAACAAGCGGACCUCAUAAAGUGCGUCGUAGUCCGGAUUGGAGUCUGCAACUCGACUCCAUGAAGUCGGAAUCGCUAGUAAUCGUGGAUCAGAAUGCCACGGUGAAUACGUUCCCGGGCCUUGUACUCACCGCCCGUCACACCAUGGGAGUGGGUUGCAAAAGAAGUAGGUAGCUUAACCUUCGGGAGGGCGCUUACCACUUUGUGAUUCAUGACUGGGGUGAAGUCGGAACAAGGUA
This 1271-nucleotide ribosomal RNA is filed under the name metagenome. RNAcentral's name for it is "bacterial SSU rRNA". It matches the Rfam family "Bacterial small subunit ribosomal RNA", at positions 234 to 1498 of the family's 1533-position model. The record is from RNAcentral.